GAGUUUGAUCAUGGCUCAGAUUGAACGCUGGCGGCAGGCUUAACACAUGCAAGUCGAACGAUGAUUACUAGCUUGCUAGUAUGAUUAGUGGCGAACGGGUGAGUAAUGCUUAGGAAUCUGCCUAUUAGUGGGGGACAACAUUCCGAAAGGAAUGCUAAUACCGCAUACGUCCUACGGGAGAAAGCAGGGGAUCUUUUGACCCUGCGCUAAUAGAUGAGCCUAAGUCGGAUUAGCUAGUUGGUGGGGUAAAGGCCUACCAAGGCGACGAUCUGUAGCUGGUCUGAGAGGAUGAUCAGCCACACUGGGACUGAGACACGGCCCAGACUCCUACGGGAGGCAGCAGUGGGGAAUAUUGGACAAUGGGCGAAAGCCUGAUCCAGCCAUGCCGCGUGUGUGAAGAAGGCCUUUUGGUUGUAAAGCACUUUAAGUGGGGAGGAAAAGCUAAUAAUUAAUACCCUAUUAGGCCCUGACGUACCCACA
This 480-nucleotide ribosomal RNA is filed under the name Moraxella sp. canine oral taxon 017. RNAcentral's name for it is "bacterial SSU rRNA". It matches the Rfam family "Bacterial small subunit ribosomal RNA", at positions 9 to 483 of the family's 1533-position model. The record is from RNAcentral. Lineage: Bacteria; Pseudomonadati; Pseudomonadota; Gammaproteobacteria; Moraxellales; Moraxellaceae.